Molecule: ribosomal RNA, 433 nt
Filed under: uncultured bacterium
Lineage: Bacteria
Description: partial 16S ribosomal RNA
Rfam family: Bacterial small subunit ribosomal RNA
Source: RNAcentral
AACGGACGCUGGCGGCAUGCCUAACACAUGCAAGUCGAACGAGACCUUCGGGUCUAGUGGCGCACGGGUGCGUAACGCGUGGGAACCUGCCCUUAGGUUCGGAAUAACUCCCCGAAAGGGGUGCUAAUACCGGAUAAUGUCUUCGGACCAAAGAUUUAUCGCCUUUGGAUGGGCCCGCGUUGGAUUAGCUAGUUGGUAGGGUAAAAGCCUACCAAGGCGACGAUCCAUAGCUGGUCUGAGAGGAUGAUCAGCCACACUGGGACUGAGACACGGCCCAGACUCCUACGGGAGGCAGCAGUGGGGAAUAUUGGACAAUGGGCGAAAGCCUGGUCCAGCAAUGCCGCGUGAGUGAUGAAGGCCUUAGGGUUGUAAAGCUCUUUUACCCGGGAUGAUAAUGACAGUACCGGGAGAAUAAGCUCCGGCUAACUCCGUG